AUAUCCCUGCCAUGUGCGUGUGAUAUCGCAGUUUUGAGCCAACACAUUUACUUCGGGAGUCCGGACUCUCGUCUGAACGUUACGCCCUUACGGGACAACCGCAAGAUGAGGAGGGCACCCACCUGCCCUAAGCAGGAUCAAAACGCGGUACAUUACGGCAUGGUGGGGCUUUU
Molecule: non-coding RNA, 173 nt
Filed under: Veillonella sp.
Lineage: Bacteria; Bacillati; Bacillota; Negativicutes; Veillonellales; Veillonellaceae
Description: 6S RNA
Rfam family: 6S / SsrS RNA
About the family: E. coli 6S RNA was the first non coding RNA to be sequenced, but its function was unknown until recently. It consists of 184 nucleotides that fold into an extended hairpin structure with a large single-stranded internal bulge. The 6S RNA specifically associates with RNA polymerase holoenzyme containing the sigma70 specificity factor.
Source: RNAcentral